UACGUAGGGUGCGAGCGUUAAUCGGAAUUACUGGGCGUAAAGCGUGCGUAGACGGUUAUUUAAGUCGGAUGUGAAAGCCCCCGGCUCAACUGGGGAGGGUCACGCGAUACUGAUCGACUCGAAGGCAGGAGAGGGAAGUGGAAUUCCCGGUGUAGUGGUGAAAUGCGUAGAUAUCGGGAGGAACACCGGUGGCGAAGGCGGCCUUCUGGACAGCAACUGACGCUGAGACGCGAAAGCGUGGGGAGCAAACAGG
This 253-nucleotide ribosomal RNA is filed under the name uncultured bacterium. RNAcentral describes it as "partial 16S ribosomal RNA". It matches the Rfam family "Bacterial small subunit ribosomal RNA", at positions 524 to 776 of the family's 1533-position model. The record is from RNAcentral.